RNAcentral lists this ribosomal RNA (513 nucleotides) under Streptomyces sp. 306A07. Its description in RNAcentral is "bacterial SSU rRNA". It matches the Rfam family "Bacterial small subunit ribosomal RNA", at positions 93 to 620 of the family's 1533-position model. Lineage: Bacteria; Bacillati; Actinomycetota; Actinomycetes; Kitasatosporales; Streptomycetaceae. The record is from RNAcentral.
UAGUGGCGAACGGGUGAGUAACACGUGGGCAAUCUGCCCUUCACUCUGGGACAAGCCCUGGAAACGGGGUCUAAUACCGGAUAACACUUCCUGCCGCAUGGCGGGGGGUUAAAAGCUCCGGCGGUGAAGGAUGAGCCCGCGGCCUAUCAGCUUGUUGGUGGGGUGAUGGCCUACCAAGGCGACGACGGGUAGCCGGCCUGAGAGGGCGACCGGCCACACUGGGACUGAGACACGGCCCAGACUCCUACGGGAGGCAGCAGUGGGGAAUAUUGCACAAUGGGCGAAAGCCUGAUGCAGCGACGCCGCGUGAGGGAUGACGGCCUUCGGGUUGUAAACCUCUUUCAGCAGGGAAGAAGCGAAAGUGACGGUACCUGCAGAAGAAGCGCCGGCUAACUACGUGCCAGCAGCCGCGGUAAUACGUAGGGCGCAAGCGUUGUCCGGAAUUAUUGGGCGUAAAGAGCUCGUAGGCGGCUUGUCACGUCGGAUGUGAAAGCCCGGGGCUUAACCCCGGGU